RNAcentral lists this ribosomal RNA (497 nucleotides) under uncultured bacterium. Its description in RNAcentral is "partial 16S ribosomal RNA". It matches the Rfam family "Bacterial small subunit ribosomal RNA", at positions 28 to 507 of the family's 1533-position model. The record is from RNAcentral.
GACGAACGCUGGCGGCGUGCCUAAUACAUGCAAGUCGAACGCUGAAGAGAGGAGCUUGCUCUUCUUGGAUGAGUUGCGAACGGGUGAGUAACGCGUAGGUAACCUGCCUUGUAGCGGGGGAUAACUAUUGGAAACGAUAGCUAAUACCGGAUAACAAUUGAUGACGCAUGUUAUUUAUUUGAAAGGGGCAAUUGCUGCCCUACAAGCUGGACCUGCGGUGUAUUAGGUAGUAGGUGAGGGAAUGGCUCACCUAGGCGAAGAUACAUAGCCGACCUUGGAGGGGGGACCGCCAACCUGGGACUGAGACACGGGCCAGACUCCUUAGGGAGGGAGCAAGAGGGGAACUUCGGGCAUGGGGGCAACCCUGACCGAGCAACGCCGCGUGAGUGAAGAAGGUUCUCCGAUCGUAAAGAUCUGUUGUAUGUCAAGAACGGGAGUGGGAGUGGAAAGUUCACACUGUGACGGUAGCUUAUCAGAAAGGGACGGCUAACUACGUG